RNAcentral lists this long non-coding RNA (430 nucleotides) under Brassica rapa (field mustard). RNAcentral's name for it is "long non-coding RNA (BRAP_LNC000453)". The record is from RNAcentral. Lineage: Eukaryota; Viridiplantae; Streptophyta; Magnoliopsida; Brassicales; Brassicaceae.
AGGUUACCAAAUAAGAAAAUAUGAUUUUAUAGAUCUACCUUUUUUUUCUUUUUUUUUCUUUUUCUUUUUUUGUCAGCAAACAAAGCAUACUCAUGUAGACUCUGUGAACCACCCCGGUAGCUCUGCAUCCAUAUGAACGAUAAACGACAGUUGUUUUCUUGCACUGCGUGCGAGACUGUCCGCCUUUGAGUUCUGUGUCCGUGGUAUAUGAAUAAUCUUUGACCUGUUGAAAUUCCUCUUCAAAACUAUUAUGUCUUCCAAAUAGCUUGCAAAGACUGGCCACUCUUCUGGUUCUGAAACCAUCUUCACCAAUUGAGCACAAUCUGUUGCAAAAGUAACCCAUGCCUGUCUAAGAUUCUUCAUUCAUUCUGUUGUCCAUAUAAGGGCCUCUAUCUCUGAGUGUAGUGGUGACUGACUCGCUCUCGUAUUC